UUAUAUUUGGGUACAGCUUUUUUACGAGUUCCCUCCUCAUCACUGGCUCAUCUUGGGGUUCUGGGCACUCCCCCCGCUUUUAGCCGGCUUAUCAAAAAUUGCAUGGCAUUGCAGCAGGCUGGGAAUGCUAGUGGGUCCACGGAUCCAAGGGCCCCCUCCGAAAUGUCGGCAUAGCCACAAUUCCUGACAUUCGUUGGCUGAGAUUAAUGCUCCUUUGGUUGCAGCCGCCAAGCCGCCAAGUCGACGAGGGCAGGUCAAGGGCCCGAGGUCUGAGGUCUGAGGUCUGAGGAGUCUGGGCCACAAGAAGUUCUGGCCUAUACUCUAAACAAAUCGGAGUUCAAGGGCUGUGCGGAGACCACGUGGUGGCGAUAAAGUUCUUCCCAGAAGCCUACUACUCAAUUAAUUUAUAACUAAGUAAACAAACAAUACUGAAGUUGAGUGGAUGCACAUGUACGAUCUAAAGUUGCGGAGAAUUUCCAUCUCUUCUAAAACCACAGUAUAAAGAACUUCAGAAUGUUAUACAAUAGUAUAGUACUUUAGGAAAAGGGUAUCCCAAUGUCUCUACUUCCAUGUACAUCUCAGCUUCACUGCUCUUUUUUUGGGCCUUGUUGUCGACCUCAACAGCAGUUUAAGUUCCAGUCUCGGAUUGCGCAAUAAGAGCCCUCAGAAAUAUACAAGAAAAAAAAGAAAAAAUAGAGAGCGAGAAAAGAACGAGGCAAGAAAGGAGCCACACAGCAAAUUGUUAAAAAUAAUUUAUAUUAAAACGCAGCACAAAAAGACAUUGCAAUGAAAAUUGUGCAAACAAUUCGAGUCCAGAAAAAAAGCAGGCGAAGAGAUGCCAGGGAGAUCCGGCCAUCCAGAUAAGCCAGGAGGAGCAGCCAGGAGGAGAAGCAGCCAGGAGGAGAUGGCCCAGGGAUCCGGGAGCGAAACCCAGAGCGGCAAACAAAUGUCCAAAUGAUAUUUUGUCAUAAUAAAUGGCACAACUAUGAUUAUUUAUGACUCGAA
Molecule: long non-coding RNA, 1005 nt
Organism: Drosophila santomea
Lineage: Eukaryota; Metazoa; Arthropoda; Insecta; Diptera; Drosophilidae
Exons: 3
Source: RefSeq, a predicted model, not a curated record